Bursaphelenchus xylophilus (pine wood nematode) is the source of this 72-nucleotide non-coding RNA. NCBI's taxonomy places the organism in Eukaryota, Metazoa, Nematoda, Chromadorea, Rhabditida, Aphelenchoididae. The record is from Rfam.
GCCUUGGUAGCGCAGUGGCAGCGCGUCAGUCUCAUAAUCUGAAGGCCGCGAGUUCGAUCCUCGCCCGGGGCA